AAAGUUAAUUACUUUUGUGCUCUUUAGGUUGUUCAGAAACUGUGUGCAUUUCAAAGACUAUGGAAGGAAGGAAACACAAAGCAGAUCCAACAAGAAAUUAGUUCAGCUCCAAGACAAAAACUUACACCGUGUGUCAAAAGCAAAGCAGUGACAAGUGACAGUGAUAGUGAUGAUGAUGAUGACAAUAAUGAGGCAGGUGCACGAGCUCUAUGUAAUGGACAUCACGAGGACGACAGGACAAACAAUUCUUCAGUAAGUCAACAACUCGACGAUCUUCACAUCUCCGACAAAAACACUCAACCUGAGCCAGACUGCUCACAGACAGAAACAAGAGGAAAUGAACGUUCAUCCAUUCAGUCGCAAACGCAAGAUCAAGACGAGGAAGGAUGGGAAGUCGUGCGGAGAUCGAAAAAACGUUAAAUGAUUGCCUCGAGCAAAUGAACUUACAUUUGAAUUUUAGAAAAAUAUAGAGUGUUUUUACGGCGGCCAUAUUAGUCCCAAACAAGAGAACCUUUUUUUCAAAAGAAAAGAAGUCAUUUCCCAAAGGAGGGAAAUGUUAUUGUUUCGGAACAAUAACAUGGCCGCCUUGACGUCACGUGAAUACUCUCCAAACCUUGCUGUAAAAAUAAAUGCUGAAUAAUAACAAACACGGUGAACCUUCUUUGAUUUCGCGCCCAUUUUCCAGAGCCUAACAGGUCAAAAGUAGCUGUCUCAUGGCCAGGAUUUUCUACUGCCUCUUUCAAAAUAUAUUGCGCUGGUAGUUGAAAUAUAAACCAGGUUGGCACUAAUAAUUCCUAUGUGCCACAUUCGAGUUAUGACUUUUUGUGUCCUCCUCUCGAUAUGGCUUCAGGCUAGCUUUAAAACGUUAGCGGACAAUAACCAUUUCAUUUCA
RNAcentral lists this unclassified non-coding RNA (892 nucleotides) under Orbicella faveolata. RNAcentral describes it as "pre-rRNA-processing protein TSR2 homolog, transcript variant X1". Lineage: Eukaryota; Metazoa; Cnidaria; Anthozoa; Scleractinia; Merulinidae. The record is from RNAcentral.